RNAcentral lists this ribosomal RNA (439 nucleotides) under uncultured bacterium. Its description in RNAcentral is "partial 16S ribosomal RNA". It matches the Rfam family "Bacterial small subunit ribosomal RNA", at positions 339 to 795 of the family's 1533-position model. The record is from RNAcentral.
CUACGUGUUGCACCAGUGAGGAAUAUUGCACAAUGGGGGGAACCCUGAUGCAGCAACGCCGCGUGGAGGAUGACGCAUUUCGGUGUGUAAACUCCUUCUAUAUGUCAAGAAAAUGACGGUAGCAUAUGAAUAAGCACCGGCUAACUCCGUGCCAGCAGCCGCGGUAAUACGGAGGGUGCAAGCGUUACUCGGAAUCACUGGGCGUAAAGGACGCGUAGGCGGGUUGGAAAGUCAGGUGUGAAAUCCUACAGCUUAACUGUAGAACUGCAAUUGAAACUUCUAAUCUAGAGUAUGGGAGGGGGAGAUGGAAUUAGUGGUGUAGGGGUAAAAUCCGUAGAUAUCACUAGGAAUACCUAAAGCGAAGGCGACCUCCUGGAACAUUACUGACGCUAAGGCGUGAAAGCGUGGGGAGCAAACAGGAUUAGAUACCCGAGUAGUC